GAUGAACGCUGGCGGCGUGCCUAAUACAUGCAAGUCGAGCGAACGGACGCGAAGCUUGCUUCUCUGAUGUUAGCGGCGGACGGGUGAGUAACACGUGGAUAACCUACCUAUAAGACUGGGAUAACUUCGGGAAACCGGAGCUAAUACCGGAUAAUCUUUUGAACCGCAUGGUUCAAAAGAGUAAGACGGUCUUGCUGUCACUUAUAGAUGGAUCCGCGCUGCGUUAGCUAGUUGGUAAGGUAACGGCUUACCAAGGCAACGAUGCAUAGCCGACCGGGGAGGGUGAUCGGCCACACGGGAACUGAGACACGGACCAGACUCCUACGGGAGGCAGCAGUAGGGAAUCUUCCGCAAUGGGCGAAAGCCUGACGGAGCAACGCCGCGUGAGUGAUGAAGGUCUUCGGAUCGUAAAACUCUGUUAUUAGUGAAGAACAUAUGUGUAAGUAACUGUGCACAUCUUGACGGUACCUAAUCAGAAAGCCACGGCUAACUACGUG
RNAcentral lists this ribosomal RNA (497 nucleotides) under uncultured bacterium. Its description in RNAcentral is "partial 16S ribosomal RNA". It matches the Rfam family "Bacterial small subunit ribosomal RNA", at positions 28 to 507 of the family's 1533-position model. The record is from RNAcentral.